Molecule: long non-coding RNA, 2072 nt
Organism: Macadamia integrifolia
Lineage: Eukaryota; Viridiplantae; Streptophyta; Magnoliopsida; Proteales; Proteaceae
Exons: 2
Source: RefSeq, a predicted model, not a curated record
AAUUUAUUUCUUCAUUCCAAAAAGAAAAAAAAACCCCAUCCCCAUCAAAACCUGUCUAAUUUCAUGGGGUUUCAACCAAGAGGUGCAUAUUUUGUAGGUUUCGACUCCUAGCUUUUUUUUUCCACAAAGGUUUUUGGCCCAAAUAUUUUCAUUGCUCACUUGUUUUUUGUGUCAUCAUCAGCUUUAAAGCCUUCUACACCCUAGCACAAGGACACAUGAUUUUCAGUCUUUUGGAAUGAUGAUGUGGCCAAUAGAAACUUUAAAACAAUAAGGUACACCCUGGAUUGACCAUGACAAUCAAGAUUUGUUGGUUACCUUUUAGUUGAGCUUUGCGAGCCCAUUGCAUUAAAAAAGGCUAUCAUACAAGAUUGAAGAUUGUAAUACACACAGGAGAACUAACUUGCAGUUUUUGAAAAACAAGUACUAGGCAACAUAACAACCUCUCCUGUUGAGAUUUAUAUCCUGGGGUAGAAUAGGAGACGAGCCUUUGGCCCUGUCAGCUUCUAAUUUUUAUUUCCCUUCUUCUAUACUUUGGUCGAAACUUAGAUGCAAUGAUUCCUUUAUUUAACUGACAAAAGGUUUCGAGGCUAUAUUGGAAGUAGUUCACCGUUUGUUCCAUUGGUGCAUCUCAAUAUUGUAUCAGAUCGUUAUCACAUUACUCAAAUCUAAAGCCUUCUGAAGUCCCUACCAAACGCAAACAAAUGAUAUCCACACCACAUCAUGAGGCCCAUACAGAACUACCAUAAGUGAGACCAGUGAUAGUCCAAUCACUUCUUGGUGGAAUAAUAUGGUGGGGUGUUGCAUUGAAUUAUGUAAUAGCGUUUUAAGGCCAUGGUAACAGCUUUAAACCCCAGACAGCCAAAACAGAAUAUUCAUGAAUUAUCCAAUGUUGAGACAAAGUAAUAGUAAAUAAAAAAGAGACAUUGGAGCAAAGAAUCACAAGAAAGCUCCUACUUAAUCCAUUAUAUUUCUCCAGUAAUCCAAAUGAGAGUUUUCAUUCAUUGAAGGGCUAGAAAAUUCUAUCGAUGUGACAACUCAUGAUUAUUUGUGACUGGCAAUUUCAUACAUGACAGAAUGUAUGGCUGGCAGUGGUUCAUUUGGUGUCGUCUUCCAGGUAUGGAUAAUUGGUUGGUUCAUGACUAUGGAGGACAUUUUUUUUUGGCAUGUUGUAUUCCUCUUUUUUACUUUUGUGACAUUCACUAUUUUUAUUUUUUAUUGCAGGCAAAGUGUCUGGAAACAUGCCAAGUAGUUGCGAUAAAUAAGAUGGUGCAACACUAGACCUCUUCCAGGUGCCUCACGCUUGAUUAAACAUUUUAAUGGUCAUGGAUUGCCAAUGGCAUUGCAUUCAAACUCUCCAUGGGCGAGUACCUGAUCAGAUAAGUAAUUUCAUAGUAUAACUAUAUUAGUGUUUGAGUUAAUAAGUUCAUGGUGCUGCUAAAAGAUACAUGCUUCAGAGACAUUGUGGUUUAUGUUUGAUAUCAUUGAACUUAUAAGCUUCUAAGCUUCUAUUUGUAGGCUGGAAAGAAUCCUUUUCUGUUGUCAGUGGCAGUGAUGAAGUGAUAAUGGGGAAGCCAUCUCCUUGCUGCCACUAAUUUUGCAUGAACUUCCCCUCUUUUUUAAAACUAAAUAUUUGAAUUUCACUAUGCUAUUUGUUGAUAUAUUAUGAAUUAACUCAAGAUUGAUAUUCCGUGGUAUAUAUAAACAGGUGUUUGGAUGAAGCAGAGGAAAUCAUCCCUACCCAUGGCUCCGUGAAUCUCUCCGAUACUCAUCACAUCUGACGGAAUUUAAUUAUGGUGCUUGUCGUAAUUCUGAUCAAUGAAUUGUUUCUCCUCAUGCAGCCUCCAUCGUAACGAUUCUUCCCAGUUCAAGCCAUAAUCAAGAGUGGAAUAAGUCUUGACUAAUGUAUCCUGAACCUCAAGGCCCAUCGCAUGCAGUUUUUUUAUAAUUUAUGACAGUGAUUUAUAGACACAGUACUACAAGUUGAUGGAUUUUUAGCAUAAUACACAGUUCGUGUGCUGUGAAUGCUUGUUUUCCUCCAUUAUACAGUAGGAUCCAAACACGAUUUUUAGGGU